RNAcentral lists this unclassified non-coding RNA (267 nucleotides) under Cladophialophora chaetospira. RNAcentral's name for it is "partial internal transcribed spacer region". The stretch from base 1 to 46 matches the Rfam family "Eukaryotic small subunit ribosomal RNA", at positions 1786 to 1831 of the family's 1831-position model. The record is from RNAcentral. Lineage: Eukaryota; Fungi; Ascomycota; Eurotiomycetes; Chaetothyriales; Herpotrichiellaceae.
AAGUCGUAACAAGGUUUCCGUAGGUGAACCUGCGGAAGGAUCAUUAACGAGUUAGGGUCUUCUAGGCCCGACCUCCCAACCCUAUGUUUAUUGAACCUCUGUUGCUUCGGCGGACCCGCCUCACGGCCGCCGGAGGACCGCUGCAAGGCGUCCUCUGGCCAGCGCCCGCCGAUGGCCAACCACUUAAACUCUGAAUGAAUCGUGUCAUAUGUCUAAGUCCAUGAUUAAAUUAAAGCAAAACUUUCAACAACGGAUCUCUUGGUUCUG